CAGCGAAAUGCGAUAAGUAAUGUGAAUUGCAGAAUUCAGUGAAUCAUCGAAUCUUUGAACGCACCUUGCGCUCCUUGGUAUUCCGAGGAGCAUGCCUGUUUGAGUGUCAUUA
Molecule: ribosomal RNA, 112 nt
Filed under: Cortinarius sp. UBC F17232 OC160
Lineage: Eukaryota; Fungi; Basidiomycota; Agaricomycetes; Agaricales; Cortinariaceae
Description: partial 5.8S ribosomal RNA
Rfam family: 5.8S ribosomal RNA
About the family: 5.8S ribosomal RNA (5.8S rRNA) is a component of the large subunit of the eukaryotic ribosome. It is transcribed by RNA polymerase I as part of the 45S precursor that also contains 18S and 28S rRNA.
Source: RNAcentral